UUCCGUAGGUGAACCUGCGGAGGGAUCAUUACAAGUGACCCCGGUCUAACCACCGGGAUGUUCAUAACCCUUUGUUGUCCGACUCUGUUGCCUCCGGGGCGACCCUGCCUUCGGGCGGGGGCUCCGGGUGGACACUUCAAACUCUUGCGUAACUUUGCAGUCUGAGUAAAUUUAAUUAAUAAAUUAAAACUUUUAACAACGGAUCUCUUGGUUCUGGCAUCGAUGAAGAACGCAGCGAAAUGCGAUAAGUAAUGUGAAUUGCAGAAUUCAGUGAAUCAUCGAAUCUUUGAACGCACAUUGCGCCCCCUGGUAUUCCGGGGGGCAUGCCUGUUCGAGCGUCAUUUCACCACUCAAGCCUCGCUUGGUAUUGGGCAACGCGGUCCGCCGCGUGCCUCAAAUCGACCGGCUGGGUCUUCUGUCCCCUAAGCGUUGUGGAAACUAUUCGCUAAAGGGUGCUCGGGAGGCUACGCCGUAAAACAAACCCAUUUCUAAGGUUGACCUCGGAUCAGGUAGGGAUACCCGCUGAACUUAAGCAUAUCAAUAAGCGGAGGAA
RNAcentral lists this ribosomal RNA (553 nucleotides) under uncultured organism. RNAcentral's name for it is "eukaryotic LSU rRNA". The stretch from base 188 to 341 matches the Rfam family "5.8S ribosomal RNA". The record is from RNAcentral.